UACGGGGGGGGCAAGCGUUGUUCGGAAUUACUGGGCGUAAAGGGCUCGUAGGCGGCCAACUAAGUCAGAUGUGAAAUCCCUCGGCUUAACCGGGGAACUGCGUCUGAUACUGGAUGGCUUGAGUUCGGGAGAGGGAUGCGGAAUUCCAGGUGUAGCGGUGAAAUGCGUAGAUAUCUGGAGGAACACCGGUGGCGAAGGCGGCAUCCUGGACCGACACUGACACUGAGGAGCGAAAGCCAGGGGAGCAAACGGG
This 253-nucleotide ribosomal RNA is filed under the name uncultured bacterium. RNAcentral describes it as "partial 16S ribosomal RNA". It matches the Rfam family "Bacterial small subunit ribosomal RNA", at positions 524 to 776 of the family's 1533-position model. The record is from RNAcentral.